This 1648-nucleotide non-coding RNA is filed under the name Saccharomyces mikatae. RNAcentral describes it as "small subunit ribosomal RNA". It matches the Rfam family "Bacterial small subunit ribosomal RNA". The record is from RNAcentral. Lineage: Eukaryota; Fungi; Ascomycota; Saccharomycetes; Saccharomycetales; Saccharomycetaceae.
AAAUAAUAUGAAUAAGAAUAUGAUGUUGGUUCAGAUUAAGCGCUAAAUAAGGACAUGACACAUGCGAAUCAUACGUUUAUUAUUGAUAAGAUAAUAAAAAUGUGGUGUAAACGUGAGUAAUUUUAUUAGGAAUAUUGAACUAUAGAAUAAGUUAAAUACUUAAUAAUUUUAUAUAAGAUUAUAUUUUAUAUAUAAUAAAGGAUAUAUUAUAUAAUAUAUUUAUCUAUAGUCAAGCCAAUAAUGGUUUAGGUAGUAGGUUUAUUUAAGAGUUAAACCUAGCCAACGAUCCAUAAUCGAUAAUGAAAGUUAGAACGAUCACGUUGACUUUGAAAUAUAGUCAAUAUCUAUAAGAUACAGCAGUGAGGAAUAUUGGACAAUGAUCGAAAGAUUGAUCCAGUUACUUAUUAGGAUGAUAUAUAAUAAAUUAUCAAUAAUAUAAAUAUUAAAAAUAAUAAUUAUAUAUAUAUAAAUUGAUUAAAAAUAAAAUCCAUAAAUAAUAAAAAUAAUGAUAUUAAUUACCAUAUAUAAUAUAUGGAUAUAUAAUAAUUAUAAUAUAAUAAUAUUAUAAUAUAAUUAUAUAUUUUAAUAGUCCUGACUAAUAUUUGUGCCAGCAGUCGCGGUAACACAAAGAGGGCGAGCGUUAAUCAUAAUGGUUUAAAGGAUCCGUAGAAUGAAUUAUUAAAUAUAAUUUAGAGUUAAAAAAUUUAAUUAAAGAAUUAUAAUAGUAAAGAUGAAAUAAUAAUAAUAAUUAUAAGACUAAUAUAUGUGAAAAUAUUAAUUAAAUAUUAACUGACAUUGAGGGAUUAAAACUAGAGUAGCGAAACGGAUUCGAUACCCGUGUAGUUCUAGUAGUAAACUAUGAAUACAAUUAUUUAUAAUAUAUAUUAUAUAUAAAUAAUAAAUGAAAAUGAAAGUAUUCCACCUGAAGAGUACGUUAGCAAUAAUGAAACUCAAAACAAUAGACGGUUACAGACUUAAGCAGUGGAGCAUGUUAUUUAAUUCGAUAAUCCACGACUAACCUUACCAUAUUUUGAAUAUUAUAAUAAUUAUUUAAUUAUUAUAUUACAGGCGUUACAUUGUUGUCUUUAGUUCGUGCUGCAAAGUUUUAGAUUAAGUUCAUAAACGAACAAAACUCCAUAUAUAUAAUCUUAAUUAUAUAUAAUUAUAUAUUAUUUAUUAAUAUAAAGAAAGGAAUUAAGACAAAUCAUAAUGAUCCUUAUAAUAUGGGUAAUAGACGUGCUAUAAUAAAAUGAUAAUAAAAUUAUAUAAAAUAUAAUCUCUUUCAAUAAAAAAUAAAAAAUAAUGAAAUAAAAUAUAUUUAAUUAAUAAUAUAAAACAUUUUAAUUUUUAAUAUAUUUUUAUAUUAUAUAUUAAUAUGAAUUAUAAUCUGAAAUUCGAUUAUAUGAAAAAAGAAUUGCUAGUAAUACGUAAAUUAGUAUGUUACGGUGAAUAUUCUAACUGUUUCGCACUAAUCACUCAUCACGCGUUGAAACAUAUUAUUAUCUUAAUAUUUAUUAAAUAAAUUAUUAAUAUAUAUUUUAAUAUCUAUUUAUUUAUAGUAGAAAUAAUAUGAAUUAAUGCGAAGUUGAAAUACAGUUACCGUAGGGGAACCUGCGGUGGGCUUAUAAAUAUCUUAAAUAUUCUUACA